Zonotrichia albicollis (white-throated sparrow) is the source of this 515-nucleotide non-coding RNA. Lineage: Eukaryota; Metazoa; Chordata; Aves; Passeriformes; Passerellidae. The record is from RefSeq and is a predicted model, not a curated record.
GGCAACAGAUGGUCAUUGUGACGUGAAGGUUAUUCCAAUAUCCACAGAGGAGGAAAAAGGACCAGCGUGAUCCAAACUUACAGCAACUUCUCUGGGGUCUUGGCCACAGCUCUUCCCUUCCUCCAAGCCUUUGAGCAAAGCAGUCACCUGAGCCACUGUUUCAGCAGGUCCCUGUGGGUUGGGCUAAGCAGAGGUUGGCAGAUGAACAAAAAGUUCAGAGUCAGGCUAAAGAGCUGUAGACAAAGGACCCAUUCCCAGCGUUCCUUUCUGAGUGACACCACCGUGGAUGACAGCAGCUUGUCACUGUACCAACACCUGCAUUUGGGAGCAGUGGGAGGGACACUCAACAUCUCUGUUUCCUUCCUUGGGACACUGGAAAAUAACUACUCCUGUGGGUCACAUAGGAGCUGCCAUCUGCAAGGUUUUCUACACUUUCCUUGCCACCAUCCGGCAGAAGUUCUAAAGCUCCAGAUUUAAUUCAGCUUGAAUAUCUAUUAUUGUCCCUUUUUUUCUUU